UGUGAAUCCGAGAAACCACUAAGGAGCCGACACCGAUUCAAACACAGGAGGGUUGAUGUACCAACUCGAGCUUGCGUCCAAGUAUACCCGACAGGGCGGAGCAGGGACUUAGACCCCGAGUUCAGUCACUCAUCAGGAAAUGCAUCUUUAUGGAUUGGAACGAACCGAGAGACUUUAUUACCAAUGGUCCUAUUACUAUGUGAAGGAUUCUUCCCUGAGAUUCUUCCCCUGUUUUAACUGACACUGAAACACUGCGAACUCUUUGGAAGAUAAAUGUCCAGGAAAUAAAUGUUAUGCAUUGCUAAUUUUAAAUGCACUUGCAA
Molecule: long non-coding RNA, 323 nt
Organism: Canis lupus familiaris (dog)
Lineage: Eukaryota; Metazoa; Chordata; Mammalia; Carnivora; Canidae
Exons: 2
Source: RefSeq, a predicted model, not a curated record